Molecule: long non-coding RNA, 2660 nt
Filed under: Mytilus galloprovincialis (Mediterranean mussel)
Lineage: Eukaryota; Metazoa; Mollusca; Bivalvia; Mytilida; Mytilidae
Source: RNAcentral
CCCCUAUAUAUUAUAGUGUUAAAUUAAAAAAAAAAUUGAUAGUGUCGAAAAACUAAAUAAAUUUGUUCAAGCCAUGUCAGAAAAAUAUUUUCUGACUUAAGAAAAUAAACCAUAGUUAACCCAUCUUCUUACCCCAUGCACUCCCAAUAAUGUUCCUGAUUUUACAACUUUAUGUGUGUUCCCUUCUCCUCGUAUAUUAUGAUGUUCCUUUGUUUUAAUUUUUGAUAGUGUUCCCUUCUCCUUAUUUCAUAUUGAUCCUAAUUUUUCAAUUUUAUCUUGUUCCCUUAUCAUUGUAGAGUAGGUUGGCUCUAAGUUUCAUGUGUAUGUGGAUACUCUUCCCCUUGCAGUUGAUAUUGUUCUUCAGUUACAUUUUAAUGUGUGUUACUGUUCCCUUGUAGUUGAUGUUGUUCCCUAGUUUUUAUUUUGAUGUGUGUUCCCAUCCUCUUGUAGUUUAUGAUUUAAAUGUGUUCUCAUUUUUAAUACUGUUCCUUUCUUCAUGGUGUUUAUUAUGUUCCUAUUUUUCAUUUGUAUGAUGAGUGUUCCCUCCCACUUUAAGUUUAUGAUGUUUCUAUGUUUUCAAUGUUAUGUGUGUUUUUUUUCCCUUGAUUAUGAUGUAUAAUUUUUCAUUUCUAUAUCUGUUCCCUUCUCCUUGUAGUUUAUGUUGGCCCUUUGUUUUCAUUUUGAUGUGUGUGUUCCCUCCCCAUGUAGUUUAUGAUGUUUCUAUGCUUUAAUUUUAUGUGUGUUCCUUUCCCCUUGCCUUUGAUCAUGUUCCUAUGUUUUUAUUAUGUAUGUUCCUUUCCCCAUGUAGUUUAUGAUGUUUCUAAGUUUAUGUGUGUGUUCCCUCUCCAUGUAGUUUAUAAUGUUUCUUUGUUUUAAUUUUUAUGUGUGUGUUCCCUCCCCAGGUAGUUUAUGAUGUUUCUAAGUUUUCAUGUUUAUGUGUGUAUCCUUCCCCUUGCAGUUUUUAAUGAUCUUAUGUUUAUAUGUGUGUUCUCAUCCCCAUGUUGUUUAUGAUGUUCCUAUUUUUUCAUUGUAAGAUGAGUAUUCUCUCCCCGGUGUAGUUAAUGAUGUUUAUGUAUUCCUGUUUAAGUUUGUAGUUUAAGUGGUUCCCUAGUUUCUUUUCCAUUACAGUUGAUGUUAUUCCUAUGUUUUCGUUUUUAUUUGUGUGUCAUACCAAAUUAGUUUAUGAUGUUUCUAUGCUUUCAUUUUUAUGUGUGUCCCCUUCCACUUGCCGCUGGUCAUGGUUCCAUGUAUUUUAUGAUGUUUUUAAAUUUUCAUGUUUAUGAAUGUGUUCCCUCCCCAGGUAGUUUAUGAUGUUUCUAUGUUUUCAUUUUUUGUGUGUUCCGUUCCACUUGUAGUCUGUUAUGAUCCCAUGUGUGUGUUCACUCCCCCGUGUUGUUUAUGAUAUUCAUAUGUUUUCACUGUAAGAUGAAUGUUUUCUCCCCCAUGUAGUUUAUGAUGUUUAUGUAUUCCGGUUUAAGUUUCAAGUUUAGGCAGUUCUCAAGUUUCCUUCUAUUACAGUUGAUGUUAUUCCUAUGUUUUUGUUUUUAUGUGUGUUCCCUUCCACUUGUAGUUGAUAAUGUUCCUGAUUUUACACUUUUAUGUGUGCUCCAUUUUCUUGUAGUUUAUGAUGUUCCUAUGUUUUCAUUUGUAUGAUUAAAAUUCCCUCCCCUUGUUGUUAAUGAUGUUCCUAUGUUUUCAUUUGUAUGAUGAGUAUUCCCUCCCCUUGUUGUAAAUGAUGUUUCUGUGUUUUCAUUUGUAUGACGAGUAUUCCCUCCCCUUAUAGUUAGGGAUGUUCCUAUGUUUUCAUUUGUGUGCUGAGUAUUCCUUCUCCUUGUAGUUAGGGAUGUUCCUAUGUUUUCAUUUGUAUGAUGAGUAUUCCCUUUCCUUGUUGUUAGGGAUGUUUCUUUGUUUUCAUUUGUAUGAUGAGUAUUCCCUCUCCUUGUUGUUAGGGAUGUUUCUUUGUUUUCAUUUGUAUGAUGAGUAUUCCCUCUCCUUGUUGUUAGGGAUGUUACUAUGUUUUCAUUUGUAUGCUGAGUAUUCUUUUUCCUUGUUGUAAAUUAUGUUCCUUUGUUUUUAUUUUUAUGAUGAGGAUUCCCUCCCCUUGUAGUUAGGGAUGUUGCUAUGUUUUCAUUUGUAUGAUGAAUAUUCCCUCUCCUUGUAGUUAGGGAUGUUCCUAUGUUUUCAUUUGUAUGCUGAGUAUUCUUUCGCCUUGUUGUAAAUUAUGUUCCUAUGUUUUUAUUUUUAUGAUGAGGAUUCCCUCCCCUUGUUGAUAAUGAUGUUUGUUUGAUGAGUAUUCCCUCCUCUUGUUGUUAAUGGUGUUCGUUUGAUGAGUAUUCCCUUCCCUUGUUGUUAAUGAUUUUCCUAUGUUUUCAUUUUUAUGAUGAGUAUCCCCUCUCCUUGUUGUUAGUGGUGUUGCUAUGUUUUCAUUGGUAUGAUGAGUAGUCCCUCCCCUUGUUGUUUAUGAUGCUCCUAUGUUUUCAUUUGUAUGAUGAGUAUUCCCUUCCCUUGUAGUUAGGGAUGUUCCUAUGUUUUCAUUUGUAUGAUGAGUAUUCUCUCUCCUUGUUGUUAGGGAUGUUCCUAUGUUUUUAUUUGUAUGACGAGUAUUCCCUCCCCUUGUAGUUAGGUAUGUUCCUAUGUUAUCAUUUGUAUGAUGCGUAUUC